Molecule: ribosomal RNA, 798 nt
Filed under: uncultured bacterium
Lineage: Bacteria
Description: bacterial SSU rRNA
Rfam family: Bacterial small subunit ribosomal RNA
Source: RNAcentral
AACGAACGCUGGCGGCAGGCUUAACACAUGCAAGUCGAACGGCCUCUUCGGAGGCAGUGGCAGGCGGGUGAGUAACGCGUGGGAACAUACCUUUCGGUACGGAACAACAGUUGGAAACGACUGCUAAUACCGUAUACGCCCUAUGGGGGAAAGAUUUAUCGCCGAGAGAUUGGCCCGCGUCGGAUUAGCUAGUUGGUGGGGUAAUGGCCCACCAAGGCGACGAUCCGUAGCUGGUCUGAGAGGAUGAUCAGCCACACUGGGACUGAGACACGGCCCAGACUCCUACGGGAGGCAGCAGUGGGGAAUAUUGGACAAUGGGCGCAAGCCUGAUCCAGCCAUGCCGCGUGAGUGAUGAAGGCCCUAGGGUUGUAAAGCUCUUUCAGCGAGGAGGAUAAUGACGUUACUCGCAGAAGAAGCCCCGGCUAACUUCGUGCCAGCAGCCGCGGUAAUACGAAGGGGGCUAGCGUUGUUCGGAAUCACUGGGCGUAAAGCGCACGUAGGCGGACUUUUAAGUCAGGGGUGAAAUCCCGGGGCUCAACCUCGGAACUGCCUUUGAUACUGGAAGUCUUGAGUCCGAGAGAGGUGAGUGGAACUCCGAGUGUAGAGGUGAAAUUCGUAGAUAUUCGGAAGAACACCAGUGGCGAAGGCGGCUCACUGGCUCGGUACUGACGCUGAGGUGCGAAAGCGAGGGGAGCAAACAGGAUUAGAUACCCUGGUAGUCCACGCCGUAAACGAUGGAAGCUAGCCGUCAGGGUGCAUGCAUCUUGGUGGCGCAGCUAACGCAUUAAGCUCCCGCCU